This 225-nucleotide ribosomal RNA is filed under the name uncultured Flavobacterium sp. RNAcentral describes it as "partial 16S ribosomal RNA". It matches the Rfam family "Bacterial small subunit ribosomal RNA", at positions 568 to 792 of the family's 1533-position model. The record is from RNAcentral. Lineage: Bacteria; Pseudomonadati; Bacteroidota; Flavobacteriia; Flavobacteriales; Flavobacteriaceae.
UCCGUAGGCGGUCUUAUAAGUCAGUGGUGAAAUCCCUUCGCUCAACGGAGGAACUGCCAUUGAUACUGUAAGACUUGAAUUUUUAGGAAGUAACUAGAAUAUGUAGUGUAGCGGUGAAAUGCUUAGAUAUUACAUGGAAUACCAAUUGCGAAGGCAGGUUACUACUAAAUGAUUGACGCUGAUGGACGAAAGCGUGGGGAGCGAACAGGAUUAGAUACCCUCGUA